CGCCUUGCCAGCCCGCUCAGAAACUCAAAUGAAUUGACGGGGGCCCGCACAAGCGGAGGAGCAUGUGGUUUAAUUCGAUGAUACGCGAGGAACCUUACCUGGGCUCGAACGUAAGAUGACUGUAGGUGAAAGCUUACAUCUCUUCGGAGCAUUUUACGAGGUGCUGCAUGGUUGUCGUCAGCUCGUGCCGUGAGGUGUCGGGUUAAGUCCCAUAACGAGCGCAACCCCUACCUUUAGUUGCCAUCAGGUAAUGCUGGGGACUCUAAAGGAACUGCCUACGCAAGUAGUGAGGAAGGUGGGGAUGACGUCAAGUCAGCAUGGCCCUUACGUCCGGGGCUACACACGUGCUACAAUGGCCGGUACAAAGGGUUGCGAAGCCGUGAGGUGGAGCGAAUCUCAAAAAGCCGGCCUCAGUUCGGAUUGGAGGCUGCAACUCGCCUCCAUGAAGUCGGAAUCGCUAGUAACCGCAGAUCAGCUACGUUGCGGUGAAUACGUUCCCGGGCCUU
This 506-nucleotide ribosomal RNA is filed under the name uncultured Sphingobacteriales bacterium. RNAcentral's name for it is "bacterial SSU rRNA". It matches the Rfam family "Bacterial small subunit ribosomal RNA", at positions 903 to 1382 of the family's 1533-position model. The record is from RNAcentral. Lineage: Bacteria; Pseudomonadati; Bacteroidota; Sphingobacteriia; Sphingobacteriales.